This 2866-nucleotide long non-coding RNA is filed under the name Homo sapiens (human). Its description in RNAcentral is "non-protein coding lnc-TMC8-4:1". Lineage: Eukaryota; Metazoa; Chordata; Mammalia; Primates; Hominidae. The record is from RNAcentral.
GAGAAAGAAUAGGUCAGAAGCAAUAGUAAAAGACAUAAUAACUUGAGAAUCUUCCAAAACUAAUACAGACUUGCAUAUUUGAGAAUCACUGUAGCUCUAAGCAGAAUCAAUACCAAAAAACAAAAAUAAAGGGAAAAGAGAGGAAAAAUUGCCAAAACAAAGAAAAUCUUAAAAUCAGCCAAAGGAGGAAAAAGAUACAUUACCUUCAAAGGAGCGGCAGUAAAGACGGACAGUCUACUUUGCAAAGAAAUGGAAAUCAAAAUACAGUGGAACGAUAUCUUCAAAGUGUUGUAAGAAAAUAACUGCCAACCUAGAAAUCUGUAUGAAGCAAAAAUAUCUUUCAAAAAUGAAGUGAGAAUAUAGACAUCUUCAGACAGACAAAAAUUAGAAUUCAUCACCAGCAGAUCUACACUAGAGGUACUAUAAAGAAAGUUCUUCAGGUAAAAGGAAAAUUAUCCCAGCUGGAAGCAUGGAGAUGCAGGAAGGAGUAAAGAGCACUGGAAAGGAUAGAUAGACGAAUACAUCUAAAAUAAUGUGAACUGUGUAAAACAGUAAAAAUAUUGAUAGGUGCAGCAAACCACCAUGGCACACGUUUACCUGUGUAACCUGCACAUCCUGCGCAUGUACCUGGAACUUAAAAAUUUUUAAAGUAAAAAUAAUAAAUGGCAACAGCAACACAGAAAGCUGGAAGAGAGUUCUGAUGGGGGAAAAACACAGGUUAUUUUUCCUCGGCUCUCACUCUACAACAGUGAUCAUCACAGAGGACUUCUUUGACCAAAUGUGUGGAUUUCUCCCCACGUGCCAAGCAAGCAGUCAGUUCUGCAGUGGACACCAGCUGGGUCGGUCUCAACACAGAAGACUUCUGUGAGCAAAUGUGUGAGGGUUUCUUCUCACACAUCAAACAAGCAAGGAGUUCUGCUGUGGAUAUCAGGUGGGUACCCUCCAAUUCCAUUUCAACAUUAUCUACCUGGAGAUAACUCAGAUCUCACAGGUUGAAGACUCAGUCUCCAGGACUGUCCCUCCUUGAGACACCAGUUGCAAGUCUGGGCCUCCAGAACUUCUGACCCACUAGCUUCAAGUUGGGAUUCCCACCACCCCUCUUUGGGUUCAGUUAAUUUGCUAGAGUGGCUCACAGAACUCAGGGAAAUAAUUACGUUUACCAGGUUAUUACAAAGGAUAUUAUGAAGGAAACAGAUGAAGAAAUGCCUAGAACAAGGUAUGGGGGGUGGGUGCUUCCAUGCCCUCUCUGUUGCACCGCCCUCCUGGCAUCUCCAUUUGCUCGGGCAUUUGGAAGCUCUCCAAACCCAAUCCUUUUGGGUUUGUUUUGUUUUGUUAUGUUUUUUGGUUUUUUGGUUUUGGAGGCAGUCUCACUCUAUUGUCCAGGCUGGAGUGCAGUGGUGCAGUUACGGCUCACUGCAGCCUCAACCUCCUGGACUCAAGCCAUCCUCCCACCUCAGCCUCCUGAGUAGCUGGGACUCCAGGCACGUACCAUCAUGCUAGGCUAAUUUUUUAAAAAAAAUUUUGUAGAGGUGGGGGUCCCACUGUGUUGGCCAAACUAGUCCCACCUUGGCCUCCCAAAGUGCUGGGAGCCACUGCUCCUAGCCCCUUUUGGGUUUUUAUGAGAACUUCAUUAUGAAGGCAUCAUUGAUUAAGCCAUUGGCCAUUGGUGAUCAACUUAACCUUCAGCCCCUCUACCCUCCCUGGAGAUUGGAGGGUAGGGCUGAAAGUCCUAACCUUCUAAUCCUGCCUUGGUGUUUAUGGAGACCAGCCCCCAUCCUGAAGCUAACAAGAGGCUGCCAGCUAUCAGUCAACUCAUUAGCAUACAAAAAGACAUUACUUUGGAGUUUGGAAGGAUUUUAGGAAUUAUAUGCCAGGAAGCAGGAUCGAAGACCAAAUAUAUAUUUCACAAUAUUACAAAGAUAAAUAUAGUUUAAAUGUCCUCAGGUCUUUGUAAUUUAUAUUAGAUUUUAAUGAGUCAGAGAUAGUAAUAUCUAGGGUAGUCCUUCUCAAUCACAUUUGGUGAGAGAAUCACAUCAUAAUGUUCAAAGACAGCAAACUUCAACCUGUGGGUCAAAUCUGGCCUGCCACCUAUUUUAGUAAAUAAUGUUUUAUUGGUGGAACACCGCUAUGCCCGUUAGUUUACAUAUUGUCUAUGGCUGGAUUCAUGCUGCACCGCCAGAAUUGAGUAGCUGCUACAGAGACAUUGUGGUCCACAAAGCUUACAUUUAUUGUCUAGCCCUUGAUAGAAGAGAUUUGACAACCCCUAGGUAUUGUGGACUGAGUGUGUGUGUUCCCCAAAGAUUUGUAUGUUGAAAUUCUAACCUCCAGCGUGAUGGUGUUAGGAGGUGGGGCCUUUGGGAGGUAUUUAGUUCGUGAAGGUGGAACCCUCACAAAUGGGAUUAGAGACACAGAGUUCUUGCUUCUUUCUGUCUACUCUCUGCCAUAUGGGGACACAGCAAGAAGAAUGCCAUCUGCAAGCCAGGAAGAGGGUCUUCACCAGAACUUGACCAUGAUGGAACCCUGGUCUUGGAGGGUCUAUAGAACCCAGCCUCUAGAACUAUGAGAAAUGUUUGUUGUGUGAGCCACCCGGUCUAUGGUAUUUUUGUUAGUAGCAGCCAGAACUAAGACAUCUGUGCUAAGGCAUCUAUUAUAUAUUAUGAAUUAACUUCUUUACAUUUAGAAUGCCUUGUAAGAACUGAAAAAAAAAAUAGUCACUCAGAAUGUUUUCUGCAGGACAUAAUUCUUUCAUAGAACUUGAGUUGAUUAACUCUAGAGUAAUCACUAAAAGGAUAGAAAGAGAAUUUAUAGCUACCAAGCUAAUAGAGAAGGAGAAAGGAAAUAAAAUAAUAAAAACCAUUUACUGUCC